GCAUCGGUGGUUCUGUGGUAGAAUGUUCGCCUGCUACGCGGGCGGCCUGGGUUCGAUUCUCGGCCGAUUCU
This 71-nucleotide transfer RNA is filed under the name Cordylochernes scorpioides. RNAcentral's name for it is "tRNA-Ser". It matches the Rfam family "tRNA". From Rfam's summary of the family: Transfer RNA (tRNA) molecules are approximately 80 nucleotides in length. Their secondary structure includes four short double-helical elements and three loops (D, anti-codon, and T loops). Lineage: Eukaryota; Metazoa; Arthropoda; Arachnida; Pseudoscorpiones; Chernetidae. The record is from RNAcentral.